RNAcentral lists this ribosomal RNA (301 nucleotides) under uncultured bacterium. Its description in RNAcentral is "partial 16S ribosomal RNA". It matches the Rfam family "Bacterial small subunit ribosomal RNA", at positions 509 to 807 of the family's 1533-position model. The record is from RNAcentral.
CAGCAGCCGCGGUAAUACGGAGGGGGCUAGCGUUGUUCGGAAUUACUGGGCGUAAAGCGCACGUAGGUGGCUGUGUAAGUCAGAGGUGAAAGCCCGGGGCUCAACCCCGGAAUAGCCUUUGAGACUGCAUAGCUUGAACACGGGAGAGGUGAGUGGAAUUCCGAGUGUAGAGGUGAAAUUCGUAGAUAUUCGGAAGAACACCAGUGGCGAAGGCGGCUCACUGGACCGUUGUUGACGUUGAGGCGCGAAAGCGUGGGGAGCAAACAGGAUUAGAUACCCGCGUAGUCCCUGUCUCUUAUAC